UUGUGCAGGGCGGGACAUGGUUCUGUGCUUUGGUUAUUGAUUGGAUUUUGCAAUUAAUGUAUUGCUUUAAGUUAUGUGUUGAAUUCAUGUUUAUAAAAAAGACGUUGUAGACCGUGACGUCAUAUCACGACCGUUACAGCAUCCGAAGAAAUUUUGCACGUUCAAAGUCUAGUGUGACCGCGACUUUACACUUAUAUCUAUCGCCAACUGUAUGCUUUACGCAAAUGCCACGCCUGUCGUGGAGACUGACGAAGCAGCACUUGAGUUGGCAUGGACAAAACCUGAUGAUCCAUGUUAACCCAGCAUGAUCUGAGAAUGUUCCAGAGAGAGAGAGAUCAUGUGCUUCAGUGGAAGCAAAAAAAUCUGACCUUUUGCUCAGAGGAGGGGUCAAUGCCAGGGCCCCGCUGGCUCUCACAGAUCUACAGGAGAGGGAGGGAGAAAUGCUUUCAAACCUCUAAGAGAAAGCCACACGCUGGGUCUGAGGAGCCUGUUCCUGUUGCUGCUACGGCAAGAGCCAGCACUUCCUGCUGACUGAACGUGACACCGAGCAGCACAUUAACACCGCAGCAAGAAUCUGGCAGGCUGUGGAUGCAGCUCAUGACUCCAGAGAGCAGCGCUGUGAAGCACAGGGACCAGCAGCGCUCAUUAGAACUGGGAAAUGAAAAUCUCCCUGUUCGUUCAAGAAAUAUCAAUGUAAACAGCUGAUACAUGGACU
Megalobrama amblycephala (Wuchang bream) is the source of this 715-nucleotide long non-coding RNA. RefSeq lists it as uncharacterized. The record is from RefSeq and is a predicted model, not a curated record. The transcript is spliced from 3 exons. NCBI's taxonomy places the organism in Eukaryota, Metazoa, Chordata, Actinopteri, Cypriniformes, Xenocyprididae.